GGGUGCUUGAGACUUUCUGUCUUGAGCAGUCGUGAUAGGCAGAAAGACAAAAGCCCCGAGUUAUUUUUUUAAUUAACCCGAGGCUCCGUUAUGCUUAGACACCAUUAUGGUAGCCUCUUAACUGCAGAAAUGCAAUCGGAGGUCAAGAUG
This 150-nucleotide antisense RNA is filed under the name Candidatus Regiella insecticola. RNAcentral describes it as "sok". It matches the Rfam family "sok antitoxin (CssrC)". Rfam says of the family: Also identified in Shigella as CssrC. The record is from RNAcentral. Lineage: Bacteria; Pseudomonadati; Pseudomonadota; Gammaproteobacteria; Enterobacterales; Enterobacteriaceae.